This is a long non-coding RNA of Cephus cinctus (wheat stem sawfly), 1471 nucleotides long. RefSeq lists it as uncharacterized. Lineage: Eukaryota; Metazoa; Arthropoda; Insecta; Hymenoptera; Cephidae. The record is from RefSeq and is a predicted model, not a curated record. The transcript is spliced from 4 exons.
AAAACGAAGAAAUUGUUUCUCAACGGAUCCAACUUUCCUUCGCACUAAAACUAAAACGAUUCUAGACUCAAUUAUCGGUACGCGUAGUUCGAUUGGUUUUGCGAAAGCGGGAAAUCCCCAUGUAGAAAACUUUUCAAGAAACCAUUAGGUAACCUCAACGGUUAUGUAACGAGGUCGUGUCCUUUAUCGUUUGGAUCGCAAAUGCUACCGGAUAGACAUUGCGAGAGACCCGCCGCGAGUGAACGAGGUCGCUAAGGAUCCUUUAAGGCAAAAAAGAGUAAGUGAGAAAGACAGAACAAUAUAGAUCACAAAUAUCUUUGCUCAGCAACACUGUGACAAGAGUUCCCAGCAAGAACUUUCCGAGAAUCGUUAGCCAGGAAAAAAAGAUGAGAGAAAUAAAACUAAAACGAUUUCACAACAUUGCAGACGACUGCAGUGACGCUGGUUCACGUAACCAGCGUCGCUGCGUUACCUCGGCGAAUAGGAGAUAAAAUGCUGGCUGGAGGAUGUUUAAAAAAAAAGUCGAAAAAUAGAAAAAAGAAUUAGCAGCUUUUGCUCGAUGCCUGAAAAUUCUGGACAGUAUCAAAAGGUAUAUGUCGUACGUCGUAAGGUACGUUAUAUGUCAAUUUAUCUCAUUAUUACUCUAUGCAGAUUAUAAGAUAAUCAAUAAUAAAUGUAUACAAAACAUUUACAGUGUUGCCUACAGGAUAGACAAAUUUCACUGUGAAUAACUAUUGUAAAAAAAAUACCUCCUACUUUGUCUCUUGUAACAAAAAUACGUUUAUUUCUAGAAAUAUUCAUACAAUUUCUAUAGUUUACAAGAUGGAUUAGAUAAGAAUUAAAGGUUGAUAAAAAUCUAACAAACGGCAGAUAAGCUAAGCCAAUAACAACUUAGUACAAAAUCUACAAAGCUAAGCAAAGCUCAAGAUUCGUUAUCUCUAUGAAACAUUUACUCGACGCUAAUUAAUAAUAACCAAAAGACAAAUAACAGGCAUUUACAUCGUCACGCGAUAUGCAUGAUCGAAGUCACGUGUAUUGAAUUCCAAUGGGGCUAAAUAAAAAAAGACGACAAUUUUAUCCACACAAUUGGAUACAGGUUACCCACGUGGUAUAAAGAAUUUUUCAAAAUUCCAAACAUUUCCAAUACAAAAAAUAUUUUUCAGAACCAGUUAUCCUUUCCACUUAACACGUGAGCAUCUCCAGGGACAACAGCAUUCCAUUUGAUUGGACCAUUGAGCAGUAGCAGUAUUCGAGUAAACGCAUACCACCGGACCUUAUCUGACGUCUUGAGCAAACCUAACCUAGCCCAAUCAAUCACAACAAAGCACAUUAGCAUUCGGAAACCACAGCAAUCAAAUGAGUCAAAGGAGCGCUCUCGUACGUCACAGUACUUCCGGUGAUACCGGUCCCUCGACUUCAGGAAUCUCAUGACCCUUGGAUCGAUCUUGGCCGUGCGGAAAGAACUUCCAGG